RNAcentral lists this non-coding RNA (45 nucleotides) under Schistosoma mansoni. Lineage: Eukaryota; Metazoa; Platyhelminthes; Trematoda; Strigeidida; Schistosomatidae. The record is from RNAcentral.
AUCCAGCUGAAGAGUCCCAAAUAAGACUAAACGCGAGUUCUGGAU